This is a long non-coding RNA of Siniperca chuatsi (mandarin fish), 1174 nucleotides long. RefSeq lists it as uncharacterized. NCBI's taxonomy places the organism in Eukaryota, Metazoa, Chordata, Actinopteri, Centrarchiformes, Sinipercidae. The record is from RefSeq and is a predicted model, not a curated record. The transcript is spliced from 4 exons.
UGAGUGUCACUGAUGAAAGUCCAGCUUUCUGUGAGCUGUUGUUCACUCUUGUUAAAAGGUAGAAAUGUGUUUACCUUGUAUACUAUAGCUCACGAGUGAAAUAGGAGGACAAAUUAGCUAUUUUUGAAAAUUGAGAUUUCCUUGGUAUCAUACUUACAUUAGCCAUACCACCAGAACCUUGUUUUAUUUUUACAAUGACUUAUUUUGAGGACAUUCCUGGAAAAUAUACUUGCCAUUGAAACAAGUGAAAUGCUCUUGCCUCAAUUAGUGUCAUUUACAAUUUCCUCAACAUUUAAAGGAAAAGAGUCAGUACAACUCAAUACCAUAUUAAACAGCUUAAGAUGAACUAGUUUACAGUGAUGCUAUUUCCAUGCAGGAUGCUGCCCGGAGGGGUCGUCUGUCUGUCUGUCUAGAUGGAGAUAAAUGCCCAGUUUUGCCCAGAGAGAGGCGGGCUGCUGACUGAUAAAGGCUGUGUUUGGGAUGAAGCUCAGCUGUUAGUGUUUACUUUAAUUGUCCUGUAAUCACCAGGUCUCCGGAGGAGGGAGAGGUUCUCCCGCCGAGCUGCACCUGGACCCUGUUCUGGACUGAUUAUACCCGUGGUGGAGGAGAUUCCCAUCCCGAACACAGUCCGAUCAAAACACACCAGGAAAUCAGUGGGAGAGAGAUGACAGCGACAGAGGACAGUGGUAAAAAGUGAACAAGGAAAACGAGGUAUUGAAAAGUGCUGGAAGAAGACAGUACAAGGACAGUAAACUCUGAAGACAGUGCUGGAGGAGACGUUACCUUUCACCUUCAACACGGAUGUUGCCCCGACGGAGAAGUGAGACAUUAAUGCAAACGCUGGUUGUCAUUAACCGGCCACAUUAUGAACCUUGCAUAUAUUUGCAUGAGAUAUCAAUCACAUCAUGUUGUAACUGCAAAGUGGAGCUGUUUGCUGACUCUGGAAUUCACCUCUUACAAGCUAUUUUUUGAGACAGACUUUUAAAAUAAUAUUGUUGCUCUAAUUGUUUGUUUUGUUUCAUCAUUAACCCGGUAAAUAAUGAACAUUGCAUACAUUUACAUACAAUUUAUCAAUCAAACCCACUUCUAACUGCAUGGGGGGAGUUGUUUUCAGAGUCUGGAAAUCACCUCCUACAGCAUAUUUUUCCACACAGACAUUUAUAUGUUUUUGCCU